This is a long non-coding RNA of Tupaia belangeri chinensis (Chinese tree shrew), 1199 nucleotides long. RefSeq lists it as uncharacterized. The transcript has 3 exons. NCBI's taxonomy places the organism in Eukaryota, Metazoa, Chordata, Mammalia, Scandentia, Tupaiidae. The record is from RefSeq and is a predicted model, not a curated record.
AAAAAUGAUAACUUAUAUAAAAUGAGAGCCAGACCCCGUGUUUUCCAAGUGUAUGGCGGAGCGCCCCUUCCCCAGCAGCACCCAGGGCUAUCGGAGGGUAGCAUGAGACGGCAGCCCAGCAGGGAGGCUGGAGGCAGCACCUCCCCAGGAGAGCCUCCGCCUGUUUCUAGAGGACCGUUUUCUGCUCGACUUCUGCACAGGCUUUCACUCAGACAGAGAGGCCCAAGCCCCAAACCAGCUCGAGAACUGCCGUGGCGUGCGGUCCUGAAGGUGCUUGCCGGCACGAACAUUCCAGUGUGUCUUGGUUCUGACAGAGACUGGGACCUCAUGUCGCUAAGUUUAUGCUUCUCUUCUAGGCUGACUUAACUUUCCGCCUCUCCUCCCUCUCAGUCGCACCCUUUGUCUUUGGCUAAGAGCUGAAGUACAGAGAAAGAGUACCAGCAACUGCCGAGGGCUUGUAAGGACCCGGCACUGAGUUAGACUCUUCACAGGCGUCCCUGUGCACACGGCCAGCAGGGGGCGCAGCUGCAGCGCGCUGGGGAUCAAUGGCUUCUGGGCCCUGGGAGGGCCUCUGCCCAAAAGAGAUAAAUGUAAAAUAAACCAGCAAGAGCAACAUUGGAGGCAGAGGAAACUGAGGCCCAGAGCAGAUAAACCACGCGCCAAGGCUGGACAGGAAAUGGAGGGCCAGGAAUGCAGGCUGGCUGCGGCUCGUGCCCUGAACCCCAGGGCUGUGCUGCCUCGCCGCCUUCAAGCUCCAGGGCAGGCACCUUCCUGGGCUCCACGGAGGAUGUAAACACGGACGUGACAGGUUGUGGCCCCGGAGUUGCCUAUGAGCUUGGAGAAUAAAACAGGUCUGAAUUACGACAGCCAAGGAGACUCUCUGACCCCUUUUCCUCCAAACACAUUUAGAGUGAGAAGCUCGCAUCUAUCCCGACCUAUGGACAGACACUGGAGCUUAGCGAGACCUGCCUGGCUGUGUAGAAGGCCAGCCAGACUCAGACCACACAGCACAGGGCUCCAACGGCCGCACCAGAGGGUUCCAGCUCCCCUCGACCCCACUGAGCAGCGCUGCUACAAAGGACCCAGUGAACAGUCCCCGAAUUCCUAGAACAGAGGUCUCCAACCCUGGGCUUUAGACCUGUACUGGGCUGUGACCUGUUGGAAACUGGGCUGCAUAGCAGGAGGUGAGCAGGAGUGAG